RNAcentral lists this transfer RNA (67 nucleotides) under Aneurus sublobatus. RNAcentral's name for it is "tRNA-Trp". Lineage: Eukaryota; Metazoa; Arthropoda; Insecta; Hemiptera; Aradidae. The record is from RNAcentral.
AAAGCCUUAAGUUAAUAUUAAACUACUAACCUUCAAAGUUAGAAACAUGGCUAGGACAUAGGCUUUA